UUAAGCGACUAAGCGUACACGGUGGAUGCCCUGGCAGUCAGAGGCGAUGAAGGACGUGCUAAUCUGCGAUAAGCGUCGGUAAGGUGAUAUGAACCGUUAUAACCGGCGAUUUCCGAAUGGGGAAACCCAGUGUGUUUCGACACACUAUCAUUAACUGAAUCCAUAGGUUAAUGAGGCGAACCGGGGGAACUGAAACAUCUAAGUACCCCGAGGAAAAGAAAUCAACCGAGAUUCCCCCAGUAGCGGCGAGCGAACGGGGAGGAGCCCAGAGCCUGAAUCAGUGUGUGUGUUAGUGGAAGCGUCUGGAAAGGCACGCGAUACAGGGUGACAGCCCCGUACACAAAAAUGCACAUGCUGUGAGCUCGAUGAGUAGGGCGGGACACGUGGUAUCCUGUCUGAAUAUGGGGGGACCAUCCUCCAAGGCUAAAUACUCCUGACUGACCGAUAGUGAACCAGUACCGUGAGGGAAAGGCGAAAAGAACCCCGGCGAGGGGAGUGAAAAAGAACCUGAAACCGUGUACGUACAAGCAGUGGGAGCCUCUUUUAUGGGGUGACUGCGUACCUUUUGUAUAAUGGGUCAGCGACUUAUAUUCUGUAGCAAGGUUAACCGAAUAGGGGAGCCGAAGGGAAACCGAGUCUUAACUGGGCGUUAAGUUGCAGGGUAUAGACCCGAAACCCGGUGAUCUAGCCAUGGGCAGGUUGAAGGUUGGGUAACACUAACUGGAGGACCGAACCGACUAAUGUUGAAAAAUUAGCGGAUGACUUGUGGCUGGGGGUGAAAGGCCAAUCAAACCGGGAGAUAGCUGGUUCUCCCCGAAAGCUAUUUAGGUAGCGCCUCGUGAAUUCAUCUCCGGGGGUAGAGCACUGUUUCGGCAAGGGGGUCAUCCCGACUUACCAACCCGAUGCAAACUGCGAAUACCGGAGAAUGUUAUCACGGGAGACACACGGCGGGUGCUAACGUCCGUCGUGAAGAGGGAAACAACCCAGACCGCCAGCUAAGGUCCCAAAGUCAUGGUUAAGUGGGAAACGAUGUGGGAAGGCCCAGACAGCCAGGAUGUUGGCUUAGAAGCAGCCAUCAUUUAAAGAAAGCGUAAUAGCUCACUGGUCGAGUCGGCCUGCGCGGAAGAUGUAACGGGGCUAAACCAUGCACCGAAGCUGCGGCAGCGACGCUUAUGCGUUGUUGGGUAGGGGAGCGUUCUGUAAGCCUGUGAAGGUGUGCUGUGAGGCAUGCUGGAGGUAUCAGAAGUGCGAAUGCUGACAUAAGUAACGAUAAAGCGGGUGAAAAGCCCGCUCGCCGGAAGACCAAGGGUUCCUGUCCAACGUUAAUCGGGGCAGGGUGAGUCGACCCCUAAGGCGAGGCCGAAAGGCGUAGUCGAUGGGAAACAGGUUAAUAUUCCUGUACUUGGUGUUACUGCGAAGGGGGGACGGAGAAGGCUAUGUUGGCCGGGCGACGGUUGUCCCGGUUUAAGCGUGUAGGCUGGUUUUCCAGGCAAAUCCGGAAAAUCAAGGCUGAGGCGUGAUGACGAGGCACUACGGUGCUGAAGCAACAAAUGCCCUGCUUCCAGGAAAAGCCUCUAAGCAUCAGGUAACAUCAAAUCGUACCCCAAACCGACACAGGUGGUCAGGUAGAGAAUACCAAGGCGCUUGAGAGAACUCGGGUGAAGGAACUAGGCAAAAUGGUGCCGUAACUUCGGGAGAAGGCACGCUGAUAUGUAGGUGAAGCGACUUGCUCGUGGAGCUGAAAUCAGUCGAAGAUACCAGCUGGCUGCAACUGUUUAUUAAAAACACAGCACUGUGCAAACACGAAAGUGGACGUAUACGGUGUGACGCCUGCCCGGUGCCGGAAGGUUAAUUGAUGGGGUCAGCGCAAGCGAAGCUCUUGAUCGAAGCCCCGGUAAACGGCGGCCGUAACUAUAACGGUCCUAAGGUAGCGAAAUUCCUUGUCGGGUAAGUUCCGACCUGCACGAAUGGCGUAAUGAUGGCCAGGCUGUCUCCACCCGAGACUCAGUGAAAUUGAACUCGCUGUGAAGAUGCAGUGUACCCGCGGCAAGACGGAAAGACCCCGUGAACCUUUACUAUAGCUUGACACUGAACAUUGAGCCUUGAUGUGUAGGAUAGGUGGGAGGCUUUGAAGUGUGGACGCCAGUCUGCAUGGAGCCGACCUUGAAAUACCACCCUUUAAUGUUUGAUGUUCUAACGUUGACCCGUAAUCCGGGUUGCGGACAGUGUCUGGUGGGUAGUUUGACUGGGGCGGUCUCCUCCUAAAGAGUAACGGAGGAGCACGAAGGUUGGCUAAUCCUGGUCGGACAUCAGGAGGUUAGUGCAAUGGCAUAAGCCAGCUUGACUGCGAGCGUGACGGCGCGAGCAGGUGCGAAAGCAGGUCAUAGUGAUCCGGUGGUUCUGAAUGGAAGGGCCAUCGCUCAACGGAUAAAAGGUACUCCGGGGAUAACAGGCUGAUACCGCCCAAGAGUUCAUAUCGACGGCGGUGUUUGGCACCUCGAUGUCGGCUCAUCACAUCCUGGGGCUGAAGUAGGUCCCAAGGGUAUGGCUGUUCGCCAUUUAAAGUGGUACGCGAGCUGGGUUUAGAACGUCGUGAGACAGUUCGGUCCCUAUCUGCCGUGGGCGCUGGAGAACUGAGGGGGGCUGCUCCUAGUACGAGAGGACCGGAGUGGACGCAUCACUGGUGUUCGGGUUGUCAUGCCAAUGGCACUGCCCGGUAGCUAAAUGCGGAAGAGAUAAGUGCUGAAAGCAUCUAAGCACGAAACUUGCCCCGAGAUGAGUUCUCCCUGACUCCUUGAGAGUCCUGAAGGAACGUUGAAGACGACGACGUUGAUAGGCCGGGUGUGUAAGCGCAGCGAUGCGUUGAGCUAACCGGUACUAAUGAACCGUGAGGCUUAACCUU
Molecule: ribosomal RNA, 2902 nt
Filed under: Escherichia coli
Lineage: Bacteria; Pseudomonadati; Pseudomonadota; Gammaproteobacteria; Enterobacterales; Enterobacteriaceae
Description: bacterial LSU rRNA
Rfam family: Bacterial large subunit ribosomal RNA
Source: RNAcentral